RNAcentral lists this ribosomal RNA (466 nucleotides) under uncultured bacterium. RNAcentral describes it as "partial 16S ribosomal RNA". It matches the Rfam family "Bacterial small subunit ribosomal RNA", at positions 28 to 523 of the family's 1533-position model. The record is from RNAcentral.
GAUGAACGCUGGCGGCGUGCCUAACACAUGCAAGUCGAGCGAACCCUUCGGGGUGAGCGGCGGACGGGUGAGUAACGCGUGGGUAACCUGCCCUAUACACACGGAUAACGUACCGAAAGGUACGCUAAUACGGGAUAAUAUUGUUGGAUGGCAUCUUCUAACAAUCAAAGCUCCGGCGGUAUAGGAUGGACCCGCGUCUGAUUAGCUAGUUGGUGAGGUAAUGGCUCACCAAGGCGACGAUCAGUAGCCGACCUGAGAGGGUGAUCGGCCACACUGGAACUGAGACACGGUCCAGACUCCUACGGGAGGCAGCAGUGGGGAAUAUUGCACAAUGGGCGAAAGCCUGAUGCAGCAACGCCGCGUGAGCGAUGAAGGUCUUCGGAUCGUAAAGCUCUGUCCUCAAGGAAGAUAAUGACGGUACUUGAGGAGGAAGCCCCGGCUAACUACGUGCCAGCAGCCGCAGUAA